AGAGGCCUCUGCUCUGCCAGCCUGGGAGUCAUCUUCACCCUCAGGCUGGUAGACUCCAGUCUCUUAGGUCAGAAUGGGAUUAGAGACCCGUUCCUGAACCAGUCACACACAGCGGGUGAAACUGCUAUGAUUGGUUUAGACUUAGAGACUGGAAUGGAUGCUGCCCAUGAAAGCAUAAAAAGUGACCAGAAACAUCAGCAAAAUUCUGAAAACAACAUCUCAUUGCUGUUUCUGUUUGGAGACGUGUAGAUGUUGACAACAAAAAUAUCCAUGAAAGUACAAGCCUCCCAGCUCCAUCACAUGUCCAAGACUCACUGGAAGUGAGGAGAACCUUUGAGUCCCCAGAUAGCAGAUGACUGGUAGGAAGAUGAGGCAAGUUUGCGGUCCAUUGUCAUGGAUAGUGGAGACAACACUGGGCCAGAAGUGGUAAGACCUGAAUCCAAGACUCAGCUCUGCCACUUGCUAAAUGGGACUUUGAAUAAACCAUUUCUCUGCACUUAAGUUCCUUACCAACAAAACGAGGGAAGUGGCCUACAUGCCUAGAUAUCAACAUUUCAUGUCACGUAGAGAUCUAGCAUCACAAGAAUCCAAGUCAUCCUCUGUUGCCUUUAAGAAAUUAGAAUUAAAGGAAUCAGAAUUGAAGUGAAUCUGACUACACUAAGCCUAUCACUUGUGACAGCCAUGGGAAGAUAUCAUUGGUUGCUGAGGAGCAGAAAUAAGCAGAGACCUAUUGUGUUAGGUUAUCAUUCAUUUCAGACAAAAAGCAGAUCAGCAAGUUUUCAUAUUGCACUAUUUUCAAUGGCUGGAGCAUCAACAUUUUACAACAAGAAAAAAAUUAAAAUUCUUCAACAUUUGGAAAAGAAGUGUUUGUAAAACUUUUCACAUCCAUUCACCAUCCGGAAAAGCAAGGUUUUACAGUGAGGCCUGAUGAUGUCUAGAGUCACCAUGCAUCUUGGAAAAUGACCUCCUAUUUAUUUCUUCUACAGGACACCAUGGUGUUCACCUUUCUACAACUUUACACUUGCUGAGGACAUAUUGUGGAAAAUUAAGAGAAAUAUAUAUGGAUGGCCAAGGCUGUAGAUGGAUGUCCAAGCCUUUUUACUGGGGAAUGUUUUCAGAACAAAAUGAGUUACAGGUUCAAGAGUGAAACCCAACAAAUCUUGGCUCUUUUUUUCUCUACUAAAUUCCAAAUCAAAAGUA
Long non-coding RNA from Homo sapiens (human), 1200 nucleotides. Ensembl annotates it as long intergenic non-protein coding RNA 2207. NCBI's taxonomy places the organism in Eukaryota, Metazoa, Chordata, Mammalia, Primates, Hominidae. The record is from Ensembl.